Molecule: long non-coding RNA, 504 nt
Filed under: Nicotiana benthamiana
Lineage: Eukaryota; Viridiplantae; Streptophyta; Magnoliopsida; Solanales; Solanaceae
Description: long non-coding RNA (NBEN_LNC037122)
Source: RNAcentral
AGUAAUUAGCUCUAAAUUAAAGUAGAGAUUUUGAGAUUUCAAUAUCAAUGUUCUCGUCAAUUUUUUUCUUCUUCUAUAUAUCAUAUAUUUUUUAAGAAGUUCGGGUCAGAUUUUCAUUUCAUAUGCAAUUUCCUUGGCAGAAAUCAUACUAGUUGCAAAUCCCUUUACCCCUUAAGCUUUUAAGACCACAUAUUUUAAAAGUCUUUUCUUUUCUUUAACUUCGUGGCGAGUCAAACAACUUCAUCUAAAUUGAAUCAUAUGGAGUAUAUAAUAUAUUAGGGGCAACAAAAAAUGUAGCUCACAAAUAUGGGGCCUAAAGCAAUUGCUUUACCUGCUUUACGGUAGGGCCGCCCUGCUUUUUUGUUGGGUUUUCCCUUUCGUUUGUGUUUUCCGAUGAGUUUGGUAUAAGGAAAAUCUCCCCAAAAAUAUAACAACAACAACAACAACAAUAAUCAUAAUAACAACAACAAUCAUGGUUCAAGUUUGUAAGCUUAUGAACCUCGG